This is a long non-coding RNA of Spinacia oleracea (spinach), 3117 nucleotides long. RefSeq lists it as uncharacterized. The transcript has 8 exons. The record is from RefSeq and is a predicted model, not a curated record. Lineage: Eukaryota; Viridiplantae; Streptophyta; Magnoliopsida; Caryophyllales; Amaranthaceae.
GCCCCCACUCAUAUCUCUAUAUUACUCAUUUGCCCUUCUUUCUAGAUUGUGCCACGUGUACCCACUUCUCCAUCUUCAAUGCUUCCCUUCCUCUCUUUUUUUCUGUAGGGUUUCCCCCUUCCCUCCUCUCCCUUCUGGUGCUUCCGUUUUUUUAUCUUCCCUUCCCAGUUUCUGCUGAGUUUCGCCGAUCAAAGCCAAAAUGUCGAGAGCAGCCUCAGAGAUUUUCCUUUUCUCAUAUGCAGGAGUUUAUCGGAGCCAUGCCUAUUUUCUCCAAGGAGCUUCUCGCCGGUGGAGUUUCCGGCGGCAUCGCUAAAACUGACGUAGCCCCUCUUGAACGAAUCAAGAUUCUUUUUUAGAAAGAUGAUAAAGUAUUGAGAAGUUCAGUAAACGAACCGUGAAGAUCACAUUUGUUAGGAUUUUCAAUCGACCUCCGUAUUUGGAAUCUUACUCAAGUGGGGUGAAUAUUAAGUCCAAAGCAUCCACACGUUGGCAAUGCAGACCAAGAAGAGACUUUCUUCAAAAGUUAGAGCCUUCUAGCUCUAUAAGACUGAGAUCUCAGAUGAAGGUAUCUGAAAAUGUUCCAGUUGCCGAGAUCGAAUAAGGCUGCAGUCUCAACUGCUUGAAAAUCUACCUAUGACCCAAGUGAUGCACACAAAGUGGUGCAGACCCACGUGAUGCAGAUCCAAAGUGGUGCAGACCCAAGUGAUGUAGAUCCAAAGUGGUGCAGAACUAAGUGAUGCAGACCUUUGUGAAAAUUCAUGUGGUGCAGACCCAAGUGAUGCAGACAAAGUGGUGUGGGCACAAGGUGGUGCAGAUCCAAAAUGAUUUGUGGUAAACUGAGUUUUAGGGAGCUAAUUGAUGAUGAAGAUAAUAUUUUUGGGUUGAAAAAGGCUCUGAUGGUGCAGACCCAAGUGAUGCAGUCAAAGUGGUUCAGACCCACCAAGUGAUGCAGAUCCAAAGUGGUUCAGACCCACCAAGUGAUGCAGAUCCAAAGUGGUGCAAACCCAAGUGAUGUUGGUUCAAAGUGGUUAAACUGGAUACAUAAGCUGGAUUAUGACUCCCCAUAAUCUAUUAUCCGGUUAUGACUCGCUCACAUGAUUGACCGUGCCCCAACAGGAUAAUCUAUUAUACCUUGAGAGAUCUACGUGAGUUCAAGACGGUAAUAAGUGAAUAACAAUUCAAAGAAUGGUGAGGUUAAGGAAGCGGAUGAAGCUGAUGAUAAUACCAAUUACCAAUUUUUCGUAAGGUUUGGAGUUUGUCUGAUUUGCUUAAUUGGUAUAGAAUUCAUAGGUUUAUUGUUUUGUUUUGUAGGUUUCUAUGUGUUUUCUCAACUGGGAUGUUGAUUAGGUUCAUAUUUCUGGUUCAUUAGGAUUUUAGCCUUUUUUCACUUAUCCCCGAUUUCAAUUCCUGGGUCAUGGUCGAGAUUUUCUUUUGCAAUUUUAGACUUGUAUGGUUGUUUAGACUUGUGGAUUUUCGAUGAACUGGUAACAUCUUGAUGUGAAUUUCAAGUGCAAUUUUUACAUUUUCUUAAAGCUUAUUGUUUAGAAUCUAAUACGAAUAAUGAUUGUAACCUGAAAUCGUUCUAUGAUUUCAUUCUCUAACUUAUGGGGAAGGGGGGGAGGGGCUCCUUUCGUUCUAUGAUUGUAACCUGAAAUCGUAAUUUAAAAUUAUGGAUGCCGUAUGAUAUUUAGAAAUUUGUACUAUUGGGGGUGGUUUUGAACCCAUAGUUAGAGACUCUGGCUAGGGCUUAGAAGAGUAACAACUUAGAAGGGAGACUUAAUCACAUGGAUGAUUCUUGUAGCCAAUAGCUUGCUUGUUUUGUAUGACGGCCGAAGGAUUUAUGUAGAAUUAGCUUGCUUUCUUCCAAUGACUGUACCCUGAAAUCGUAAUCUUUAUAGCUGUGGAUGUAUGAUAUUUAGAAAUUGGUGUUAAUGGGGUUGGUGUUGACCCAUAGUUAGAACUAGGGUUUGAAACUUGAACUAGAAUAUAAUUGCUUCCUUGGUUGAUUCUUGUGGACAACAACUUGCUUGUUCUCAUGCAGUUUUUAUGAUGCUCGAAAGAUUCAGCUACACAGUAGCUAGGUGACGUCGUUUAUAAUUAGCUGGACAAAAUAAGAAGUAAAUAUAGCUAGGAACCAUCUUGAGUUUAUUUAAUGUUGAGGGACUUAUGGCAGCCUGGUAGGGUCAUCUAUUUAUCAUCCUUCCUUGUGCGACAUUUGCAAGUGCAUGGGUUCAUUCUAUGUAUUUAUGUGUAUGUGUGUUAUUUCUUGUGUUCAAUAUUCAUACUUGCGUAUUAUAGUUUGAUGUUAGCAUAGCUUCAUGUUAAAAGAACUUCCAAACGUUGCUUUAGGAGGUCUUUAUUCCAAAUAUCAUUUCUGAACUGAUAUAUUCCUUUUGUAACACAUGAUUCAUGUUAAAAGUUAACUCUCUUGCAUGAUUUAUGCCUUUUUGUGUAAAAGAGUUGUAAUCUACUGUCCAUGCCUCACCAGAUUACGAAAAUUGUCUGUUACAUAAAAUGUUACAUAAAAUAUCUGAGAUAAAGGUUUUUUGUGCAUUUUGGGUGUUUAGCUUCCAUCACUUGAGCAUUUGGCAUGAACUGAAUUUUUUUGACAUUGUUUUCAUUUCAAGAAAAUCUCAUAUUGUUUGCUGAGGUGAUAGGUGGGAUAAUGUGCUUGUUUUCCUGGAUAAACUAAAGGUUCCAAGGCAUUAGAGGAAUCAGAAAGCUUAAAACUGGCCAAAUUUCCUGGUUCUUUUAGCUUUCCUUAUUACCAAAGGAUGGGUGAAACUUAGUUGACACAGGAGGGAUGUGAAAAAUGAAGGGAAAUCAUUUAAUUACCCCGGCUAUUUUGUAACCGCCAACAUGUAGUUGGACAAGAUUUGGUCAUGAAUCAAAUCACUGGUUGUAUGUUAAAGAAUUAUAAUACAGUAAACUUUUGAUACAGUGUGUUAUAACUCUUUUAGAAUCAACAUUGUUUAUGUUGAAUGAUUUUAGUAUUUAGAUUACCUUACGUGGUCUAGGAAUUCAGGGUAUUUCAUAUGAACAUAGACCACUUGAAGUUUUAUGCUCCUAGGAAAUAACUACAUUUCUUAUCAUUUACUAUAUCCACGCUUUUAACUA